This 450-nucleotide ribosomal RNA is filed under the name uncultured bacterium. RNAcentral's name for it is "bacterial SSU rRNA". It matches the Rfam family "Bacterial small subunit ribosomal RNA", at positions 29 to 524 of the family's 1533-position model. The record is from RNAcentral.
AGCGAACGCUGGCGGCAGGCCUAACACAUGCAAGUCGAACGAACCCUUCGGGGUUAGUGGCGGACGGGUGAGUAACACGUGGGAACGUACCUUUAGGUUCGGAACAACACAGGGAAACUUGUGCUAAUGCCGAAUGUGCCCUUCGGGGGAAAGAUUUAUCGCCUUUAGAGCGGCCCGCGUCUGAUUAGCUUGUUGGUGAGGUAAAGGCUCACCAAGGCUACGAUCAGUAGCUGGUCUGAGAGGAUGAUCAGCCACACUGGGACUGAGACACGGCCCAGACUCCUACGGGAGGCAGCAGUGGGGAAUCUUGCGCAAUGGGCGAAAGCCUGACGCAGCCAUGCCGCGUGAAUGAUGAAGGUCUUAGGAUUGUAAAAUUCUUUCACCGGGGAAGAUAAUGACGGUACCCGGAGAAGAAGCCCCGGCUAACUUCGUGCCAGCAGCCGCGGUAAU